This 477-nucleotide ribosomal RNA is filed under the name uncultured bacterium. Its description in RNAcentral is "partial 16S ribosomal RNA". It matches the Rfam family "Bacterial small subunit ribosomal RNA", at positions 28 to 507 of the family's 1533-position model. The record is from RNAcentral.
GAUUAACGCUGGCGGCGUGCCUAACACAUGCAAGUCGAACGAUGAAACUUAGUAGACUUCUUCGGAAAGACACUAAGCGGAUUAGUGGCGAACGGGUGAGUAACGCGUGAGUAACCUGCCUUACACAAGGGAAUAGCCUUUGGAAACGAAGAAUAAUACCCUAUAAAACCAUAAAAGCACAUGCUAGAAUGGUCAAAGUGAUAGCGGUGUAAGAUGGACUUGCGUCUGAUUAGCUAGUUGGUGAGAUAAAAGCUCACCAAGGCAACGAUCAGUAGCCGGCAUGAGAGAGUGUACGGCCACAUUGGGACUGAGACACGGCCCAGACUCCUACGGGAGGCAGCAGUGGGGAAUUUUGCACAAUGGGGGAAACCCUGAUGCAGCGACGCCGCGUGAUUUAGAAGGCCUUCGGGUUGUAAAAAUCUUUUGUAUAGGAAGAAAAUGACAGUACUAUACGAAUAAGGUCCGGCUAAUUACGUG